AGCUUACCGAUCAAGCUGAACUCGGGCAACACCUAAUGUGGAGAUCUACCUGUCUGUCUGUCUGAACCUGCAUGCAUGAAAUGCAGUGGCCCCAGAAAAGGGACGUCAGUACGAAAUAAUGUACCGAGUAUAUAAGGCAAUAUACUGAAAGCUGAAACUGAACUAAUAAUAUAAUAAUUGAAAGUAACUGGGAGUCAAAGACAAUCUGAAGAUAUGCUCACAUGCUGAUACUGACUCAACUCUCUCAAUAUAGUAAGUAAAACAGUUGUCCGGCCUUAUAAGGCUUGGUAUAUAUAAAUCAUCUGCCGUAGUUGACUCGCUCAUAGGCGCUCAGCCAUACUAGGCUAUGUAUCUCGGCCAUGCUGGGCUCGCUCAUAGGCUCUCAGCCACAGUAGGCUCGGUAUAUAACUUACCAUCUGAUCUGAGGUUGCCCAAUAGGGGCCUGCCCAUUGAUUAUAGCUCGAUGCUAGUGAAAAUACUGUAAUACUAUAUAUAUAGACUCUCUGCUCUCUUGAUUAGGAUAAGACAAUACUUAAUUGAAUAUGAAGUCCCGAUAAGGGAGAAUACUGUAACUUAUGAGACUAGGAUAAUGUAUAUAAAUUCGGAAGUAUGAACUUCUCUUUAUGCCUCGUUAUCAAACAUAUGUAAUUACGAGAUCAUGCCAAAAUGAAGGAAGGGCUUAGCCUUAACAUACCUGAGCCGAUUCUCUUGACAAUCCCUUUAUCACACAUCAAUUAUGACAAAUCACGUAACGGCAGAUCAUAGUAGGGAAAUCCAUAUGAUAUUCUUGAGAAAGAUUGCACCGUACUCCCUUAGAAUCGCAAAAUUCCGUUGCUAUUACCUUAUGAAAUCUCGUACGAAUUUUUGUAGAAAAUUCUGUAUGAUCACUUUGUGAAUUUGAUUAUGAUCUUGUAUGAUCUUUGAAGCUCCAUCUGUAAGUUGUAGUCAUAGCCGUUUCAUUUUGUAGUAAUAAGGCUUAAUAGCAUCUUUUAAUCAAAAAUGAGAAAAUGUAGUUAUUAAUUUAAAUGUUGCCACCUUCCAAAGUGACUUUAGAGUCAUCAAAUAGGCAUAUAUUGCUGCCACGUUUUUGUCUUGAUUAAGCUCAUCCAAUAACUUAAUUAAGCUU
Molecule: long non-coding RNA, 1126 nt
Filed under: Nicotiana tabacum (common tobacco)
Lineage: Eukaryota; Viridiplantae; Streptophyta; Magnoliopsida; Solanales; Solanaceae
Description: long non-coding RNA (NTAB_LNC013002)
Source: RNAcentral